RNAcentral lists this ribosomal RNA (1576 nucleotides) under Globobulimina sp. RNAcentral describes it as "bacterial LSU rRNA". It matches the Rfam family "Bacterial large subunit ribosomal RNA", at positions 911 to 2467 of the family's 2925-position model. The record is from RNAcentral. Lineage: Eukaryota; Foraminifera; Rotaliida; Buliminidae.
UGUUUCGGCUAGGGGGUCAUCCCGACUUACCAACCCGAUGCAAACUCCGAAUACCUGUGAGUACUAUCCGGGAGACACACGGUGGGUGCUAACGUCCAUCGUGAAGAGGGAAACAACCCAGACCGCCAGCUAAGGUCCCCAAAUACCAGUUAAGUGGGAAACGAUGUGGGAAGGCUCAGACAGCUAGGAGGUUGGCUUAGAAGCAGCCAUCCUUUAAAGAAAGCGUAAUAGCUCACUAGUCGAGUCGGCCUGCGCGGAAGAUGUAACGGGGCUCAAACUGGUUACCGAAGCUGCGGCUGUGCACGCAAGUGCACGGGGUAGGGGAGCGUUCUGUAAGCCUGCGAAGGUGUGUCGAGAGGCAUGCUGGAGGUAUCAGAAGUGCGAAUGCUGACAUGAGUAACGACAAUGGGGGUGAAAAACCCCCACGCCGGAAGACCAAGGGUUCCUGCGCAACGCUAAUCGGCGCAGGGUGAGUCGGCCCCUAAGGCGAGACCGAAAGGUGUAGUCGAUGGGAAACGGAUUAAUAUUUCCGUACCUUGGAUAGCUGCGAUGGAGAGACGGAGAAGGCUAGGUGAGCCGGGCGACGGUUGUCCCGGUUUAAGCAUGUAGGCAGUGGGAUUAGGCAAAUCCGGUCCCACAAUGCCGAGACGCGACGACGACUGCCCUUUUAGGGCGGGAAGUCAUUGAUGCCCUGCUUCCAGGAAAAUCUUCUAAGCUUCAGGCUAUUCGAGACCGUACCCCAAACCGACACAGGUGGUCAGGUAGAGAAUACCAAGGCGCUUGAGAGAACUCGGGUAAAGGAACUAGGCAAAAUGGUGCCGUAACUUCGGGAGAAGGCACGCCGGUGGUAUGUGACGCCCUUCGCGGGUUGAGCAGAAGCCGGUCGAAGAUACCAGGCCCCUGCGACUGUUUAUUAAAAACACAGCACUGUGCAAACACGAAAGUGGACGUAUACGGUGUGACGCCUGCCCGGUGCCGGAAGGUUAAUUGAUGGGGUUAGCGCUUGCGCGAAGCUCUUGAUCGAAGCCCCGGUAAACGGCGGCCGUAACUAUAACGGUCCUAAGGUAGCGAAAUUCCUUGUCGGGUAAGUUCCGACCUGCACGAAUGGCGUAACGAUGGGGGCGCUGUCUCUACCCGAGACUCAGUGAAAUUGAAAUCGCCGUGAAGAUGCGGUGUAUCCGCGGCUAGACGGAAAGACCCCGUGAACCUUUACUAUAGCUUCACAGUGAACUUUGAGCAUGUUUGUGUAGGAUAGCUGGGAGGCUUUGAAACCAGGACGCCAGUUCUGGUGGAGCCAACCUUGAAAUACCAGCCUGACCUGUUUGAGGUUCUAACUUCGACCCCUUAUCGGGGUUAAGGACACUGUGUGGUGGGUAGUUUGACUGGGGCGGUCUCCUCCCAAAGAGUAACGGAGGAGCACGAAGGUUGGCUAAGUACGGUCGGACAUCGUACGGUUAGUGUAAUGGUAGAAGCCAGCUUAACUGCGAGACAGACACGUCGAGCAGGUACGAAAGUAGGUCAUAGUGAUCCGGUGGUUCUGUAUGGAAGGGCCAUCGCUCAACGGAUAAAAGGUACU